GAGGAAUGCAUGGUUAUGUCUGAUCUACUCUCUUGCAUUGUUAUUACGAGACAGCAGAGCCUUCCCAAAUCUGUAUGUGGCGACGGGCAGUACAGUCUACCUGACUAUGGACAAUGGUACCCAAUUAAACUUCCAUGAAUUCGACUGGUAUAUGAAAACUUUCAGAGUGGCCAAGUUGAGAAAUUCUACUGUUCACUAUUAUGGAAGGCAAGGUGAAAUCUUUUUGAAUGGGACUCUCAGACUGGACAAUGUUCGCAAAAAUGAUACUGGAGAGAUUACAGCUAAAUUGUUUGACAAAAAUGGAAAAAAUAUCCUCCAAAUCAAAUAUCAUCUCAUUGUUACAGAUCCAGUGUCUCAGCCUAUCAUAGAAUAUACCUGUUCACAAGGACAAUCGGAGUUUCACUGCUCUGUAGAGAGUGACAAUCCCUUGUAUUCAUGGAGUUUUAAUAACAAGCCAUUGCUUGGUGUUGGCAUUUUUCAUAAUGUUGAAAACCAUAAACUCAGUUUAAGGAAUUCUUCUGGCAGAGUCACUUGCACUGUUUCAAAUAAUGUCACCCAAAAUAAGAGUGAAACCCUUGUUUUUUCUUGUACAGAUUCAAUGCAGGUGACCGGAAGUGGCUGGUGUAUUGGAAUUAAAUUUUCAGCCAUUAUGCUUAUUUGCAUGAUAGCAUCUGCAUUUCACAUCUAUACUCGAAAACAGAAUAAGCAGAAUAUUUGAAGUCCAACUACAGUGACAUUGCCAGGAUAAGAAAACUCCAUUUCAGGAUGAUGUAAUGUGCUUUGGGUUUUUUAAUAGUUUUGUCAACCUUGUACAUAUUAUGGACAUAUCUGUGGUUAUGAAAUAAAACAAGCCUUUAAAUAAUAUAAUGUUGCCUUAUGUGAAAAUGAAAACACUCUUCGAUUUCUGAAACAGACUGGAGUUUUACUUAAAAGGAAAAUUAUAUCUUUUCUGUGUCUGGGAUGUAGUAAACAAUGAAGAAUAUGCACUUACUGUACAUGCCAAAAAUAUAUAGUGUAUGUUAACAAAAAGUUACUUGAGUCAAAACCUACUGUAAGUGAACUUAUAUCUCAAUAUCUCAAUAUCUCACCCAGUGUGGGUGUUUGCUGCAACUUCAACCAUGGACAAAACCAAUGUUUCCCAUUGGAACAUUUUGCCUUUUUUCUUGUGGAUAUUUGCUUUAUGA
RNAcentral lists this long non-coding RNA (1184 nucleotides) under Lepisosteus oculatus (spotted gar). RNAcentral describes it as "lncRNA (ENSLOCG00000023267.1)". The record is from RNAcentral. Lineage: Eukaryota; Metazoa; Chordata; Actinopteri; Semionotiformes; Lepisosteidae.